RNAcentral lists this unclassified non-coding RNA (232 nucleotides) under Hevea brasiliensis (rubber tree). The record is from RNAcentral. Lineage: Eukaryota; Viridiplantae; Streptophyta; Magnoliopsida; Malpighiales; Euphorbiaceae.
GUUCAAGGCUGCUCAGGGAGAGCGAAUCGUCAUCGACGUCGAGCAGUGCAAGGUUGAGAUGUGAUUGGAUAUCAGAUCGAGGACAUACUUCAUCAUCUAGAGUGUUGGAAUCCCCUAGAGCAUUGAUCUGUUGCCUUGCCCACUUGGUUACAUCUACAUCACCUUGGAGAAGUUUCAGAACAAGGCUCAUUGGAGGUCUAGCUCGUGGGGCACGUCUGAUACAAAGGCUCGC